GAUUUUAUAAGGUGAGGCUCUAAUUUGGACAGGAGGUUCACCGUGAUCAACAGUCAAACUCCUAAGAGGUGGAUGCUCGGAUUCUAUGGUUCUAUUGCUAUCAGAAAGAUUCCACUCAGUGGUUUUCUUUCUAACGGUAAUAGGGUUCGAUUCUUUGAAGGGAUAAGAAAUGUUGUAAUCUGAAGCAUAUAAUUGAAACCAGUCAAAAAACAAGAUAUGAACUUUAUGCAAAUUUAUAAAUUCGUAAUAAACUUCUUGAAUCUCUUUUCUUUGGUUUAAAAAAUGUUUAAAAAACCAAAGUCUCUUUUCUUUAUUCGAAUCAGAAUAAAAAACAUUAUGCAAUAGAGUUUAUCCAAUUCAAAAUCUUUUUCAAUGACAUUUAUUACAUUUUCAGUGAUAGCUGAAAAUGUAGGAGAAGUUGGAGGAGAAGGUUCUUUUUCUUCCUUUCUAUGUUGACUACUAGUGUAAAUUGGAUGUGGUACGCUAGUGGCAUAGUCAACAGAGUGAAUGAAGGAGCUAGGUAUGUCUGAAGUAGAAAACCUAGACUGGCUCUGGAAAGGAAGGUUUAUUUCAGAAGGGAUUUUGGAAAAUUUCUUUUCCAAUGAAGGGAUACUAGAGACAGAAUCCUUAUCUGAGAAUCUAGACGAAGUAGAUCUCCUAAAAGAUAAUUUGACUUUACCAUCUGAAUACUGAGUCACAUUUUGUAACUCUGUAUUAGGCUCAAGUUGUUUAGAAAUCACUGGAGCAGUGGCUCCUUCAAGAAUCCAUUCAUCUGGAAGAUUGACAUCUUUCCAUUGGAUUGGUUUUGGAAUAACCGUAUUGGCUUUGGACAAAUCAGUCUGUAAGAGAAGAGUUUCAUCUCUUUUCGACUGGAAUUUGUGUUGUUUGCUAAAUGCAAAAAUCAUGGCUUUAUAAGAGAUUUUAAAAAUCAAAGCAACUGGGACAGAUCCCUCAAUCAUAUGAUAAUUAUGAGUUUUGAUUUGUAAAAUCUUGCUUUUCAAAAUAUUUUUGUCUUUUAAAGAAAUUGUCAUAUUCGGGUAAUAAUUAAAUGAAAUAGGGCCUUUACAAAGACUCGACUCUAUACUACUUAGCAAAGAAUCAUCAAAAGAGAUGAAUCGCCCAUCUCUUAGGACAACAAGAAUGGAAGUGUUAAGUCCUUCCUUAGUGAGAGGCUUUAUACCGACUUGAAUUAAACCGAUAUGAACAUAAUUAAAAUUUUUAUCCUUUAACUUCUUUAAAGACUGUUCUGAAAACAAAUGAAUUGUCUCAAAAGGCUUUGAAAGAGUGAUAUCUCGUUCUUCAGUCUUUAUGACGUAAUCAUUUUUUAAGAAAUCAAACUUUUUUGCUUUGUAAAUCAUUUCUUUGGAAAUCUUUUGAAGUUCCCAAUUAUCAAUUGCUUUAUUGAAAUCUUCAAUUACAAAUUCUUCAGAAUUCACAACGUUCUUUGAAUCACUAGUUCUUCCUGAAGAAGAGCUAGAAAAGGACGAUGCUCUACAGAGUAGAGAGUCCAUGGAUAAAAACCUAUGUUUUUCUCUAAGUCCUGUCAGUAUGGCUACAGGUAUGGUUUUACUGCCCUCAAUGGAAAACCUUAUCCUAAAACGAGAUUUAGUACCAGUAAAGAAAUUCACUACACAAACAAAAUUCAAAUAAAACACAAGUCUUUAAACACAAAGUCUCUAAUCUAUAUUACACUAUCCUCCCCUUGGCUCUGAUACCAGAAAGGAAAUAAGAUCGAAGGACGGAAGUGUUUUCAAAAGAAUAUAAAUUAAAUGUUUCAGUGUGCAAUUUUUAAAUGGUACCUUUUACGAUCGCAGUUGUCCUUUUUAGAAAUCACUUGAAGUACGUGACUUGUUUUCCGACAGUGCUGACCAGACUAGUGUCUAUUCAGGAUCACCUCUGGAAUUUACGUCGUCGGUUUCCUGUUGAUAUACUCAAAUGAAAAUAAUUUACCAAAUAUCUAUUAGAUUUUUUAAACAAGCCUAGCAACAAACAUACAUCUAAAGGCUUAUAGAUAGUACUAGAUCUGGAUCCCAGAAAUAGCACUCUGAUUGGAUGGAGGGAGAAGAGAAGAUACAAUUGAGGAUAGAGAUCUGGUCUCGUUGCCUCAGAGGAACAUAGCAGUUGUAUGACAGAUAUGAUACAGAUAAGUCUGCAAAUGAUGCUUUAAAGUAAAUUGCAAAAAUUUAAACAUACAUGAACUAAACUUUAUUACAAGCUUUGAAAUAAACUUACAGAAUUACAAAUCUUACAUGUGGUUUUCUUGAUCUGAUGCUUUAAAAGAAAAUGUUAAAAGAGAAUUGGGAAAUUAAUCUGAAGACAUAAAAAUUUCCUUGAUGUCUUCGGAUUUCUGAUUCCCAGAGGGAGAGAGAGAGAGAGAGAGAGAGAAAGAAAGAAGAGAAGAGAGAACUCAAAAAUUGAAAAUCUGAGGAGUUUAAGUCUUCCUCCCGAUUUAAAUACAAAGAAUGGAUCUUUAAAUUGUAGCGAGUCUGUAGCUUCUUUACUGCAGUUUUUCCACUGUAGCGAAACUGUAGCUUCUCCACUAUAGCGAAACUGUAGUCUUUGUAAUGUACAUUAUUUAAAAAUACAAGUAUGACUUGGGUGAAGAGACAUGUGCGCUCUCACUUGUGUUCAGGGGACCACCCGAAGGUAUAAAAAUACAUAUACAAAAAAGGAAAAUACGAGAGAGGAAAAUAUACAUGAUAAUUAUUCUCUUUUUUUAUUUUUAUAUUUGUUCCAAAAAGAAACAAGGUUAACAAUAAUUUGGGCAUUGCUCCUUUCAUUUUGAGUUAUAUUACAGUAGCGCUGAAUUUGUUAAUUUCCCCAACAAUUUCAAAAAUUAAAUUCAAUAUUUAUUUCAUGUAUGAGAAUAAAUUUUUGGUAAGAGAAGAAGAUGAAUAAAAGAAAGAGAACAUGGUUAAAUAAGUAAUUGACCAAAUUAUAUUUUCACAAUAAAAGUUAGUUUUAAUUAAAAAAUGGGUGCAAUGAGAAAUUUAUGGUGCAUUUACUUUGUGGCAAUUGAAAUGAGUUGAAAUCUAAAUAGAUUGUUACAAGUUAUUAAAAUGCCCUUAAAUGAUAUUAUAAUAAUAAUAAUUAUUAAUAUUAUUCUAAUUAUUAUUAUAAUAGUAAUUGUUGUUGACAUUAUUAUUUUAUUAUAACAAUUAUUACUGCACAAAAGAGAGGUCGAAUUCGCAUGCAACCUUCAGUCAAGCCCAUUUAGGGGACCUUGACCCAUAAGGGAAUACUUUGUGGAACAAGAAUAAAGGGAAUUUUCUCUUACAGAGAUAAUAAAGUCACUCAAAGAAAUGGAAUUUUGGGAAUCCCAUUCCCAACCCCUACGGGAGUGGGAAAUUCAUUCCUUGUGAAGCUAGUUAGUUAAUUCUGUUAUGUGAUUAAGUGGCGUGCUGAGUCAGCAUUUGUGUGGGGCCAGUAGUUAGUUAAUUUGUUAUUGCUAACAGCUGGACAACAACAGCUAUAUAUACAUAGCUCAAAGCUGAUCAACAUAUACUUUUCAAUCACGAUUUUGAGGGACCUAGGGUGAGAGAUAUGAAAUUCUCUGUAUGAGAGAUUUAAUCUUUGUCAUCAAAAGUCUCUUUGUCAUCAUCUUCUUUCUUUUCUGGUUAUUACUUGUAUUGGGUUGGUUAACGUUCUUUGUUAAAGAGAGUUGAUCUUGGUCGAUUGGGUUCGUUAGCUCAUGUUGGUUGAUUAACGGCUGAUGAUUUGAGUAAUUCCACAACAAACUGGUAUCAGAGCUCUAAAAGCUCUCAGUUCUUGUUCUCAAAUGGCUAGUACAAGAUUUGAGGUAGAAAAAUUCAACGGAGAAAAUGACUUCUAUCUAUGGAGUCUCAAGAUGCAUGCAAUCUUGAUCCAACAGGGGCUUGACGGUGCUCUUGACAAUAAAGAAGACCAAAUUGGCAAGAAAGAGAAAUCAGAAGGCUCCUCAAGCUUAGGUGGAGACAUGAGGUCCAUUAACAAAAAAGCCCACAGCACCAUCAUCUUGCACCUUUCAGAUGAAGUGCUGAGAGAGGUAGCAAAAGAAAAAUCAGCUUCUGGCCUAUGGUCUAAACUUGAAGAAUUAUUCUUGAAGAAAUCUUUGGCCAACAGACUCUAUAUGAAAAAGAAACUGUAUACGUUCUCAAUGAAGGAGGGAACAACCAUGAAAGACUAUCUUGAUGAAUUCAACAAGCUAAUCCUGGAUCUUGAGAAUGUAAACAUCAACCUUGAAGAUGAAGACAUAGCUCUUAUCUUGUUAAGCUCACUGCCAGAUUCAUAUGAGCACUUUGUUGACACAUUACUAUAUGGGAGACAAACUCUUACAUUGAAAGAUGUGAAGAGUGCUCUGGAAUCAAAAGAUUUGAAGAAAAGAGCUGAGGGAAAAGAUCAGGGCGUUGGUGAAGGCCUGAUGGCCAAAUCAAAGCCUGAAAAGAAGAAAAAUCAUGAGAAGAAAGGUAACAAUCAGAAGGAUAAAGCUGAUAAGAAAAAGAAGAAGAGAAAGUGUUACUUCUGUCAAAAGGAAGGGCAUUAUAUAAAGGAUUGUUUCGAAAAGAAAAAACUUGAAAAGAUGCAGAAAGAAUCAUCAGGGAAGGCAGCCAUUGCAUCAGAAGAUGAAGGGAUUCAGAAGAUGCAGAUGUACUCAUAGCUGCAGAAAGACAACCAACUGAAUAAUGGAUCUUGGACUCAGGUUGCUCAUUUCACAUGAGCCCAAACAAGCAACUCUUCAAGACUUUUGAGAAAGUUAAUAUAGGUAAGGUUUUAUUGGGAAAUAACUUGGCCUGUAAAGUUCUUGGAAUUGGAACUGUUACUAUAACUAUGCAUGAAGGGGGUAGAGAGAGAUCUAAGAAAUGUGAGAUAUGUUUCAGAGCUUAGGAGAAAUCUAAUAUCCCUAGGAACUGUUAACCAGUCUGGCUGUAGCAUAAAGGCAAAAAAUGGUGAACUGCAAGUUACUAAAAAUGGCAUAGUUAUAAUGAAGGGAAUUAGAAGAAAUGGGUUAUAUGUCCUAAUUGGAUCAUCCUCCUCACCAGGAGUUAUAGUCUCUGUUACUAUAGAUAAAACAAAACUGUGGCACAUAAGAUUGGCUCACAUGAGUGAAAAUGGGUUAAAAGAGUUGGACAAAAAAGGUCUAAUUGGCUCUGAUAAGAUUUCAUCUUUUGAGUUCUGUGAAAAAUGUGUGUUUGGAAAGGCAACUAGACAGAGGUUUGGGACUGGGAAGCAAGAAACCAAUAAUUCAAUGGAUUAUAUCCAUUCAGAUCUAUGGGGUCCAUCUCAAGUGCUAUCACAUGGUGGAGCUAGGUACUUCAUGACAUUGAUUGAUGACUUUACCAGAAAGGUUUGGGUAUAUAUCUUAAAGCAUAAGGGUGAAGCUCUACUGAAGUUUAAGGAAUGAUUGACUUUGAUUGAAAACCAAACAGACAGGAAGGUAAAGAGACUAAGGACUAAUAAUGGGCUGGAGUACUGUAGUAAAGAGUUUGAUGAGUUUUGUAAAGAGAAGGGGAUUGCAAGGCACAAGACUGUUAGACACACACCCCAGCAAAAUGGACUUGCCAAAAGGAUGAAUAGCUCACUGACUUGACCAUAAUGACGAUGUUAGCUGCCAAGAAUCUAAUCUGGUGGUCGCUGAAGCUGUCACCACAUCAGCAUACAUGAUAAAUAAAAGCCUAUCUUCAGCACUAAAUUUCAGAACUCCACAAGAGGUUUGGUCUGGAAAACCACCUGAUCUAAGUCAUAUGAGAAUCUUUAGCUCACCAACAUAUGCUCAUAUCAACCAAGGAAAACUUGAACCUAGGGCAAUGAAGGGUAUCUUCAUUGGCUACCCUGAAGGUGUUAAGGGAUAUAGAAUAUGGUGCAUUGAUGGGAAACCUUCAAGAAUAAUAAUGAGCAGGGAUGAUGUAUUUGAUGAGGGUUCCAUGCUGCAGCAAAAGGUUGAAACUGAACUAAUAACUUCUGAGCAAAGAGGCAACCAUGAGCCGAACCCGGAGGUGGAGCUUACUGAUGAUCAUAGGGACACUGAUGAAAAGUUCAAGUCUUGUGACAGUAAACCUGGUUCCUCAGAAAUGGAUAACUACCAGCUAGCAGGAGACAGAGAAAGAAGGGUUAUCAAAAUGCCUAAGAGAUUUGGUAUAGCUGAUUUGAUAUCUUAUGCACUAAAUAUUGUUGAAGAAGUUAUUGGGGAAGAGCCCAGCAGCUAUAAGCAAGCCAUGAAUAGUAGAGAUAAAUCCAAGAGGCUGUCAGUAAUGGAAGAAGAAAUAUCCUCAUUAAAGAAAAACAACACCUGGACUCUGGUGAGAAAACAAGGGGGUAGGAAGCUGGUUGGGUGUAAGUGGAUUUUCAAAUAUAAAGAUAGAGUUACAAGUGUUGAACCCCCUAGAUAUAAGGCUAGGCUGGUGGCUAAGGGCUUUACACAAAGAAAAUGAGUAGAUUACAGUGAAGUUUUUUCACCAGUUGUCAAGUAUAGCUCAAUCAGAGUGUUGCUUGCAAUAAUAACCUACAAUGAUUUGGAGUUGGAUCAAAUGGAUGUCAAGACAACCUUCCUACAUGGCAAUCUUGAAGAAGAGAUAUACAUGGAACAACAAGAAGGUUUCAUACAAAAGGGGUCAGAGGACAUGGUUUGUUUGCUUAAGAAGAGCUUGUAUGGCUUAAAGCAAUCCCCCAGGCAGUGGUAUUUGAGGUUUGACCAAUUUAUGAUUGCUCAUGGUUACUUGAGGAGUCAAUAUGAUAGCUGUGUGUACUGCAAGUUCCUACUUUCUGGAGAUGGAAUUUAUUUGCUUCUCUAUGUUGAUGACAUGCUCAUUGCAUGCAAGCACAUAGAAGAAAUAGAAAAGCAUAAAUCUGAGCUAAGGUCUGAAUUUGAGAUGAAGGACUUAGGCUCUGCCAGUAAGAUUCUAGGAAUGCAGGUUAAAAGGGAUAGAGCUGUAAAGACUUUAUUUCUCACACAGGCUGGUUAUGUCAGAAAGGUGCUCAACAAGUUUGACAUGGUUACCACUAAAGCAGUUUCCACUCAUUUAGGCACACUUUCAAGCUGUCAAAACAGCAAGAACUAUCUGAUGAUAUAGAUAUUGAGUACAUGAAGAAAGUUCCAUACUCCAGUGUGGUUGGACGCAUUAUGUAUACUAUGGUGUGCUCUAGGCUUGAUGUUGCUUAUGGGGUAGGUGUAGUUAGCAGAUUCAUGGGGAACCUAGAAAAUAUGCAUUGGAAUGCUGCUUAGUGGAUACUUUGGUAUCUGAGUGGAUCAUCUGAUUUUGGUAUUCUGUUUAGUAGGGAUAACAAUGUCACAAGUAAGGUCAUAGGCUAUGUGGACUCAGACUUUACUGGUGAUUUGGACAAGAGGAAGUCUACUACUGGUUUUAUUUACACCAUGUGUGGAGGAGCUGUGAGUUGGAAAGCAUCACUGCAAUCAGUUGUUGCUUUAUCAACUACUAAAGCCGAAUACAUUGCACUUGCUGAAGCUGUUAAAGAAGCAAAGUGGCUAAGAAGGAUUAUAUCUGAACUGGGCUUGAUUCAAGAUACAAUUCCCAUGUGUUGUGACAGCUCAAGUGCAAUUCAGUUGAGCAGAAAUUCCAAAUACCAUGAGAGGACCAAGUAUGUGGAUGUGAAGUUACACUUCAUAAGAGAGAAAAUUGAAAGGGGAGUAGUGGAUGUUGUAGAAAUCUCUACUGAAGACAAUCCAGCAGAUGCACUGACAAAACCAAUACCAACAGUCAAGUUCAGGAACUCUCUGAGCUUGAUUGGAGUUAGAAGCUUGUAAGUCAAGCAUAUUAACAAGCUGAAGCAGAGAUGGGUGAAGCUGGAACAAAAUGAACUAAGGUGGAGAUUUGUGAAGCUAGUUAGUUAAUUCUGUUAUGUGAUUAAGUGGCGUGCUGAGUCAGCAUUUGUAUGGGGCUAGUAGUUAGUUAAUUUGUUACUGCUAACAGUUGGACAACAGCAGCUAUAUAUACAUAGCUCAGAGUUGAUCAGCAUAUACUUUUUAGUCACGAUUUUGAGGGACCUAAGUGAGAGAUAGGAAAUUCUUUGUAGGAGAGAUUGAAUCUUUGUCAUCAAAAGUCUCUUUGUAAACACUUUGUUCAAUAAAAGCUUCAAGCCCAGGAGGGUUCUUCAGUCGUGGAUGUAGGUACUUUGGUACUGAACCACGUUAUUCUGUGCGUGUUGUUUCCUGUUCAUCUUCUUUCUUUUCUGGUUAUUACUUGCAUUGGGUUGGUUAACGUUCUUUGUUAAAGAGAGUUGAUCUUGGUCGAUUGGGUUCGUUAGCUCAUGUUGGUUGAUUAAUGGCUGAGGAUUUGAGUAAUUCCACAACAUUCCUCAUUCCUAAAUUUAGUAGGUCCCAUCACUUUCAUUUGCAUUCUUUGAUUUAAUUUUACAAGUAAUUACAUACAAUGGAAAUUAUUUUCUAAUUCAAGAAGUAAAUACACUCUUACUAGGUUUAAACCGUCCCACCCAUGGCCAUAGUACACACACACAUAGGGGUGUAUGUAUGUAUUUGUAUAUGUGUGUGUGUGUAUUUCACUCCAAAACAAGACCAGGCUAUAGCCCAUCUUACCAUCCACAAUGAUUCGCCCAUGAUCAUAUGACUCAUAUCAUUGAUGAUGUAACUUUUAAGAUUGCUUUCUCAUAUAUGUAUUAAUGUUAAUCUAAGUUCGAUGUGUUAAAGUGAGGCAAAGAAAUGGUUACAAAUUUGUUGGUUAAAAGUACGGGUCAGAUGAAAAUGCAAAUUAUAUAUAAUAUUAUAUUUUUUACUAAUUCAAUUUUGGCUUGUGAUUUAAGCGUAGGAUUUAGCUGAAAUGUAGAAAAAAUUACAAAAUAACCAAAAUUGAACAGCAGCAAUCAGCAUCCAAGCAAACAAAUCAGCAGUAGCUUCCAGCAGUGAAAAAUAGGGAUUAAGAUUCUCUCUUGAUCUAAUCAUGUUCUGAGCAAACUAAUUAAUUGCUGAUUGGUUGUUGAUAAAUAAAAAAAAUAAAAGAAGUUAAAUCUUACCCAUACACUACCACUAAAAGACACAUGACAGAAGAUUUUUAAAAUAUCAGUAUAACUCAAAUCAGGAGAGGAUCUUGUUCUGAAAAAUAGUUGCAAAAGCAGCAACAGGUCCGAGAAUUAGUAAAACCGUGAAGGCAUGCGCUAAGAUAUUAGAGCAAUGUCCUCGAGAAAGCUUUGCUGGCGCAAUACAAAGAAUGAUUAUUAAUGUAAGAAUGCAUUUACAAAUGACUAGACUAGAACAAGAAGUUGGAUAUGCUUUUGGUAAAGAAAAGUGAACUAUUUGUUUUAUGUAAUAUAACAAAAGAAAUUGUUUUCUUAAAUUAUUCAAUGGAAUGGGCAUCAGGGUACAACUUUCAAAUUUUUAGAGGUAUCUAAUAAAUAAAGGAAGUUGGUGCUUCAAGAAGUAAUUGAAGAUAGAAACUCCAUAGGUUAAAUUUAUUAACCUAAAAAAUUUUAGUUUUCGCAUUUUGUUGUUAUGUAAUUUAGUCACAAGUAAAUCAUUUUUCUAUACCCACUGUUAUGUACGAGGGAGAUUUUAUAAAUAAAAUGAAAACAUAAUUACAUCUAAAAGGAGGAAAAUAUCGAGCCUUAGCCAAAAUAAAAUCUAAAACAACAAAAGCUUGAAAGCUUGAAUACCAAAAAAUAAACAACCUAAACAUAAGCAGACCCAAAAAGUAAACCAAAAUGCAUGCAAUGCAACAAAAACUAACAGGUUGUUUAGCAGUUUUCUUGGUUUUGUUUCUAUUCAAGCUUUUAAAAUCACUAAGAGCUUUUGUUGAUAUCACUGACUUAUUUUGUGUUGACGAUAAUUAUAAACAAAUAUGAAUUGUAGAUUGGUAGCAAUGGAUUUUGCAAAACGUAGCAAAUCUCAAUUAUAUUUUUGUUGACAUAAAUUCGCUUCAACAUUAAAUCACUAGCAUCAAUGAACAAGCAACGAAGAUAUAGCCUCUGACUAAAUCGAAAUAAAUUUCAAAGUAGUGAAUUCAAUGGCAUCGCUAGAUACUUUCUUCCUAUAGAUCACGCGCGCGCCCCAACUACUGCAGAGAAUCUCCCUUAUACAUGCCAUGCUAUUUAGCUAAAGGCCAGAGUUUGAGAUUGUAAUGGCCGAUAAAAUUAGUUGCUUUUAUUGUGCUGAUGAAAUAAACUGUUAAAUAAAAAUAUAAUUAGGUAUUUGGUAAAUUAUGUUAUUGCGAUUGUUGUAAGUAGAUGAAGAAAGAUGUUUAAUAAAUUUUAUUAUGAAAGUGUUACCUUAUUAUAUAACGAACAAAAUAAAUAUAAGUUUACAUUAUCUUUUUAUUUUUAAGAGUCAGAUUAAUAAAUUUAUCAGGCAUGUGGUACACUUAAUAAAUUAUUUAAACAUGUCUUACUUUUUUUACUACAUAUGUACAAUUCAUAAAAAAUAAAGAAAGUGAAAUAUAUACAAUAUCAUUUUCUAUCUUAGCAGUUAAUUUCUCGUGGGUAAUGGGUUUGCUUUAACCAGGGUCGGCUCUAGCACAUUAGCGACCUUAGUCGAAAUUUUUGUGUGGGACCUUUCUCUAUUUAAAAACAACAAUUCUUAAAACCAUUAAAUAAUGUCAUUAUUUUAUUUUAAUGAAACAUAAGAAAGACAUUUCAUUUAUAUUACAAAUAAAAUCACAUUUAGUUUUACAAGUUUCAUAAUACAAGCACCAGUUGAUCAACAUUUUCAACACCAACAACAAGACCUCAAAUCAAAAGAAUGCAUGUAAAUUAACAACUUUAAAAAUUGACAAUAUAAAUGCUACUAUCUCCUGGGAAUUCAAACUGUAGUAGGAAAAUAGCAAAUAUCCUGAAAACUCCAUCUCUAUCACAAAAUCACAUAUUUGAUAGGACCAUAACCCAUAAGAUAAUGUGACUAUAUCAUUGCUCCAACAGUCCAACCGCUUCAUGUUUUGAUCAUUGUUGAAUGCAAUACUAACACAAGUAAUUAAUCAAUUAAAAAUUAUUCUUCUUGCUUUUUUAGAUGCAAAGUUAUUAAUUAAAUCCUCAAAAUUUAGGUUACCUAAAAAAUCUUUUAUCAAUUGAUAACAUAGCUAAUCCAUUUAAUCUUUCUUGUGACAUUGUUAAUCUUAAAAAAGAUUUUAUCAAUUUCAGUUUUGAAAAACUCCUCUUAGCUGAAGCAACAGUUACAGGUAUUGUCAAUAAUAUUCUAUAAGCAACAAAUGCAUUAGGAAAAGAUCCUAUCUUUUUAAUAUAAUUAAGAAUGUCAAGUGAAGUAUUUAUUUUAAUUUGUAAAACUUCUUUCAAAACUUUUAACUUUGAAAACAAAUCUAAUCCAUCAAUAUCAGAAAACAUAUCAUGUUUCAAAGACUUUUCAAGAUGCAUGCAACUAUUUUUCAAACUAUCAUCAUCUAAUUUUUACCUUUUCAAAACUAAAUAAAAAUCCAAAAAUGCUUUCAUAUAAUUCAAACUACUGAAAUCUAAUCUUGAUAGAAGAAAUAACUUGAUCGACAAUAUAAAUAAAGUAAUCAAUUCUAAAAGAAUCUUCAUGGGACGAAAUUCUUUCUUCAUUAUUAUUCUCACCAAAUACAGGUUUUCUACGAAUUACACCUUUUUCUUGAAAUUUUGGCUCUAUUCCCAUUUCACUUGCAAUCUUUUUAGCUGAAAUAAUAGCCGACACAUAACCACGUUCUCUAUAAUUUUCAAAAAAAGAUGUAAGACCUUUUAGUUGAUUUAUGACAACAUCGAUUUGCAUAUCUUGCUUUUGUAAGUUUUUACUAACAGUGUUCACAACAAAUAAUAUAUCAUACCAAAUAGUCAUACGUAAUAAAAAUUCAAAGUUUUCCAACUUAUAUGUUGCUAAACAUUUAGCUUCACUAUUUGUUUUAGGAUCUUCACCAAAUUCUGCCAAUUGGAGUAAAGCAUCUCUAAUUUGUGGGGCUUGAAACCUUAUUGCUUGAACACUUUCUAUGUGACUUUCCCAACGAGUUUUUGAUAAUGAUUUAACAGUUAAAUUAGGUACAUGAUCUUUUAAAAUUUUCCAUCUCUUUGUUGAAGAAGAAAACAAUGAAUAAUAUGUUGUAAAACUCCACAAAAAAAAAAAAGUAGCUUUAGAACAAGAAUUAGCCAUAUCACAAAGUACUAAAUUAAGACUAUGACAGCCACAUGGUGUAUAAAAUGCUCUAGGAUUUAUUUCUAACAAUCUUUUUUGUACACCUUGAUUUUUUCCUUUCAUAUUAGAUCCAUUAUCAUAUCCUUGUCCUCUUACAUCAUUAAUAUCAAGCUCAAGUGUUUUUAAUACAUCCACAAGUUCACUAAACAAACCUUUUCCAGUGGUAUCAUCUACCUUUAAAAAUCCUAAAAAGUAUUCUUCUACAUUUACUGGAUUUGUUGAAAUAUCUAUACAUCUUAGUAUGAGAGACAUUUGUUCUUAGUGACUUACAUCUGGAGUACAAUCAAGUAUAACUGAAAAAUAUUUUGCUUCCUUGACUUUGUUAACAAUUGAUUUUUUUAUUUCAUGUGCUAGCAUCAAAAUUAAUUCAUUUUGUAUGUUAUGGCCAAGAUAAUGAUUAUGAAUUUCACCUGUUUUAAUACGUCAAAUGUGCUCUUGCAUUGUUGGAUCAAAUUCUGCUAUCAUUUCAAUGAAACUUAAAAAAUUUCCAUUGCUCUCUUCAUAGAUCUUUUCAUUUGUUCCACGAAAUGCUAAAUUAUUUUUUGCAAGACUUUUACAACAACAAUAAUUCUUAUUAGUACUUUCUUCCAAUGUUCUUUCUCCUUGUUUAUUCUUUCUUGAGCAUCUUUAUCAAUUGUUCUUCUUGUCGACAAUCUUGUUUCUAAAUCAACUCAUGCAUUCAUAUUAGUUAUAUGUUCAUUAGUUGUUUCAUGUCGUUUAAGUUUAGCACUAAGAUUUUUCCAAUCUCUUGACCCUUCAUCACUUAGUUGAGUUUUGCUACAACUUAUAUUGAACAAUUUGCAACAGAAACAAUAUACUUUGUCAAAAUCUUUUGAAUAUAUUAACCAUUUUCUAUCAUGUUUUUUCUCCAUUUGGUAGUAUUUUAACAUAAAAUUUGUUAGAAAAAUGCCUAAGAUUUUCAUCUUUUGGAUAAACUACAUCAUACUCUCUAAUUGGGCCUUUUUCUACUAAAAUAUCUCUUAACUUUGUAUCUAUUUUUUUCCAUCUUCUCGGAUCAUAUAUGUUAUGUGGCAUAGAUAAAGUUUCUACAUUAGCUGUGCCACUAUCAAUUCCAGUUUCUUUUAAAUUUUCUUCUUCAACACUGUUUUCUUCAUCUUUUUCUAAUUCUUUUGGAGCCGAUUGUUGUUCUUGUUCAAUUACUAAUCCUUCACUUAAAUCUCUUUCUUUUUUACAUGUGACAAACUUAUCAAGAGCCCCCCUUUUGAGAUUCAACUAGUUUUUCAAUUCUUCUUCUUUUCAGUAGUUUUUCAUACCCAGAUGCAUAUUUCCUAAUUGACAUCUUCAAUUUUAAAUAACAAACAAAAUCAAACAAUCAAACAAAUUAACAAACAACAAAUCUUCUCCUAUAAAGUACUAAUAUUAUAUAUGAAAACAAACAAACAAACAAAAGCAUAAACAAAUAAUAAAAAACACAAAUACUUGAAAAGUGAAAACGAAAUAAUUAGAAUGAGUGCACCUGGAAAAAAAGAUGAUGACAAAUAGGUAAUGGAUUUUCUUUCUCAAGUACAAAGAAUGUCGAAUUUGAUUAAUUGGAGCAAAUGAGAUGCCGAAUUCAGUCAAUGGGAGCAAAUAAUUAGAAUCCAAUAAUUUCGAAUUUGAUCACUGGAAGGAGAUGAGAUGGUUAGAUGAAGCUUGAAUUAUGGAAUUGAGAAUGAAUAUUCUAGACUUUCUUGCCGAGGAAGAGAGAAUUGAAAAGGCAAAGGAUUUGGGCGUUGCUUUUAAGGUGUUUAAUUGUAAAAGGAAUAUUGAAAGUUUUAUUGAAAAGAUAAUGGAAAUAUUUAAUUACCGUUUGUAUUAAAUAAUUAGUUGUGAUAAUUGGGCCUUUUUAAUUUUAUUGGAAAUAUAAUUAUAUUAACUAAUUGUGAAAAUUGGGCCUUGCUAUUUUUGGGCUCUGGGCGGGUGCCUAUUUGGCCUAACGGUGGAGCCGGCCCUGGCUUUAACCACAAGUGCAUUAUGGCAAACAAGCAUGGAGUUCUCUUUUUCUUUCUCUAUGGAGAAGAUGUUGGAAUCUUUACAAUUCCCAUAAAGUAAAUAAACCCUAAUUUGAAUAAACUUUAGUUUCUAAGAUCAUAAAAUAUCAUGAUUUUUACAUAAUCAUAAUCGCGAGAAAACAUACCUUGAUCUGUAGCAAUUUUUCUUGAUCAAAUCUCACUGCCAAGAGUUAAAGAUUAGUAAAAUUAAUUUCUCUCUAUUGACCUCUUUAGAGCAACUCACUUUCUAAUGGAGAGAAAAUUAACGUGAUAUCCUUUUAUAUAUUGGGAAGAGAGAGGUUUAAUAAAACCCUAAUUCUCACUUUCCAUCAAAGUGGGCAGUUAGUUUUUCCCAAUUGACCAAUAGGAUUUCAGCCCUUGAUUUACUUUAUUAUUGCUAAUUUAAUAAUGUGGCACGUGGGCCACUAUAAAAUAUUCCAACAUUAUCCUAUUUGGCCCAUGUGACACAUUUAAAUUAAUGGUUUAAUAAUAAUAAAUAUUAUGCGCAUAGUAAAAGCUAAAUCCUUACUUGCAUUGGUCAAGCCAUAAAAUCAUCAUUGAACAAAAACUAAUAUGAAUCAUAGCGGUUUCACAUCAUUAUUUCGACAUAGUUCCUCAUAUGUAUCAUAAUAUCAGUUUUAUGCUUAACAUGACCUGUAAUGGGAAAGAAAACAAUAACGGUCCAUCAAUAAUGUCUUAGUCAGAGACAAAACCUAUUAACAAUCAUGUCAUCAUUCAUGUAUAUACCAUUAAAUCAAACAAGAUAUAAAGAAUUAGAAACAAUACUUAAAUGAGCUCAGAGCAUCAAAUACAUAAAGAGCAUAACAAUUUAAACAUAAUGUCGAUAGAGAUAUCCAAUAAUACCCAUCCUUUCAACAUGUUCGCUGAAAAUCUUUGGAUUUAAUCCUUUUGUUAAAGGAUCUGCAAUGAUAAAGUUGGUGCUAAUGUGCUCGAUUGACACUUUUCGUUUAUGAACUUCCUCUUUAAUGGCAAGGUAUUUUAAUUCUAUACGUUUAGCACCCUUUGAAUACCUGUUGUUUUUAGAGAAGAAGAUUACUGCGACUUAUCAUAAUAAAUCUUCAGUAGCUCUGUUGACAAUUCUAAGACCUGAAAUAAAGUUUUGCAGCCAUAAUCCAUGAACAGUGGCUUCAAAGCACGCCACAAACUUAGCUCUAUAGUGCAAGUAGCAUGACGAUCUGUUUUGCACUUUUCCAUGAGAUGGCUCCUCCAGCCUUCAUGAACAAAUAGCCAAAUGUGGAAUUUAUGGUAUCCACACAGCCAACAUGAUCUGAAUCUGAAUACCCUAUCACUUUGAGAUGAUCAGAUCUCUUAUAAGUGAGCAUGUGAUCCUUUGUUCCUAGCAAGUAUCUUAAUUCUUUCUUUGCAGCUUUCCAGUAAUCCAAUCCAAGAUUACUUUGAUAUCUGCCGAGCAUUCUGACAGUAAAACUGAUGUCUGGCCUGGUGCAUGUUUGUGCAUACAUCAAACUUCAAAUAACAAAUGCAUAAGGAAUUAUUUCCAUCUGUUUGCGUUCUAAUUUGUUCUUUGGGCAUUGCAUAAGGCUGAGUUUAUCUCUUUUCUAAAUUGGAACAACACUUGCAGACCGUGUUUCCAUUCUGAAUCUCUCUAAUACUUUAAACUCUUUGGUCUUAUGAAGUAGAGAAAAAUCAUUAGCAGUAAGUAAAAUGUCAUCAACAUACAAAAUUAGAAAAAUAAUCUUACUUCCACUGACCUUGAGAUAUAUACAUCGGUCAAAGAUGUUUUUUUUUUUAAAUCCAAAGGAAGUGAUGGUAUCAUUAAACUUAAGAUACCAUUGUCGGGAGGUUUAGUUAAGUCCGUAUAUUGAUUUCUUUAAUUUACACACGAGAUUUUCCUUUUCUUCAGCUGAAAAGCCUUCAGGUUGGGCCAUAUAAACAUUUUCCUUUAAAUUCCUAUUUAGAAAGGCAGUUUUCACAUCCAUUUGGUGUAACUCUAAAUCAUAGUGAGCCACCAAUGCCAUAAUAAUUCUAAAGGAGUCUUUUUUAGAGAUUGGUGAAAAAGUCUCUUUGCAGUCAACGUCGUCCUUUUGAGUAUAAUUGAUAACUCUAUGAGAUGAGAGUUAUCAUUAUACUUUUAGACUUAAAUAAUGAUUACUUAUAAAGUAAAUGAUGUGCUUUUAUUGUAUUUUGGUUAUAUUUUGCAUAAACAUCUAUUUUAGUUUAUUUUUAAUCAAUUUUGUUUGAUUUAGAAUAUUUUGUGUGCUUAAAUCUCAUGCAUAAUUGUAGGUGAUCAAAAGCUCAAAUUUUAAUAAAGGAAUGUUGUUGCAAUGGGCUUGUGAAAAUAUGGAAAGAACUUGGCUAUAGAAGAACUGAAACAAAUUUGGAAUAGUGCAGUUAUUGUAGCCGUUGCUUUAGCAUUUGUUGCUGUAGUAAUCCUGGAGCAUUGACAUGGAAGAUUUCGAGUGAGGUACUUAGAAGAUUGGGAUUUGGAGUUUCCAAAUCUUGAAGAUACGUGCCCUAAACUUUCGGUUACCCUAAUUUUUAACUGUAAAAGGAGCACAGAAGACAACAUAUUUAGGCUACAAUCAAAUUGCUAUAGCACCAGAGGAUCAGGAGAAGACAACAUUCACUUGUUCUUAUUGAACUUUUGCUUUUAGAAGGAUGUCAUUCGGUUUGUGCAAUGCUCCAGCAACCUUCCAGAGGUGUAUGAUGUCCAUUUUUUCAGAUAUGGUCAAGCAAACAUUAGAGAUGUUAAUGGAUGACUUCUCGAUUUUUGGGGAAACAUAUGAUGAUUGCUUACACAAAUUAGAAAAUGUGCUUAAGAGGUGUGGGGAGACUAACUUGGUGCUCAAUUGGGAAAAGUGCCACUUUAUAGUACAAGAAGGCAUAGUCUUGGGCCAUAAAGUCUCAAAAAAGGGAAUAGAGGUGGGCAAAGCAAAAAUAAAAGUGAUACAUAAAUUUCCACCCUCAACUUCAGUAAAGGGUAUUAGGAGUUUUCUAGGACAUGCUGGGUUCUACAGAAGGUUCAUUAAAAAAUUUUCCAAAAUAGCUAAACCCUUGUGCAUGCUGUUAGUAUAUGACAAACCUUUAAACUUUGAUGAAGAUUGCUUAAAAGCUUUUUGUGAAUUGAAAAAAGCUCUUGUUACAGCACCCGUCGUUAUAGCACCAGAUUGGAGUUCACCUUUUGCGUUGAUGUGUGAUGCCAGUGACUACUUUGUUGGAGCAGUUCUAGGGUAAAGGAAGAAUAAGAUUUUUCAUUCCAUUUACUAUGCUAGUCCUUACCGAUGCUCAGAUCAAUUAUACCACCACUGAAAAAGAAUUGUUAGCAGUUCUAUUUGCAUUUGAAAAAUUCAGAGCCUAUUUGGUUAGCACCAAAGUGACAGUGUACACAGACUAUGCAGCAAUAAUGUAUUUGAUUGCAAAGAAGGAUGCCAAACCAAGGUUGAUAAGGUGGAUCCUUUUGCUAUAAGAGUUUGACUUGGAGAUCAAGGAUAGAAAAGGGACCAAGAAUGAAGUAGCAGAUCAUCUUUCAAUGCUUGAAGCAGAUGUAAGCACCUUGACCAAACAUGACAUCACAUAAAUAUUCCAUGAUGAGCAACUACUAAUGCUACAACAUGCACAUAUGCUGCAACAGUCUGGACUCCCAUGGUAUGCAGAUUUUACUAAUUACUUGGUGAGUGAACUUUUACCACCUGAUUUGAGUUAUCAGCAGAAGAAGAGAUUUUUCCAUGAUGUCAGAAGCUAUCAGUAGGAUGAUCUCUCUUUGUAAAAGAUGUGUUCAGACCAUGUGAUCAAAAGAUGUAUACCUGAUGAAGAAAUUCCACACAUAUUGCAUUCAUGCCAUGCUGCAGCAUAUGAAGGACAUUUUGGAGGCCACAAAAUAGCUGCCAAAGUUUUACAAUUAGGUUAUUACUGGCCCUCUAUUUUUAAAGAUGCUUAUAAGUUUAUUAAAUGUUGUGAUAGGUGCCAAAGAACAAAGAACAUAUCUCAAAAGCAUGAAAUGCCAUUAACGAACAUUUUAGAAGUUAAGCUCUUUGAUGUAUGGGGAUAGACUUACGGGUCCAUUCCCACCAUCUUUUGGGAACUUAUAUAUUCUAGUUGCCGUAGACCAUGUGUCCAAAUAGGUAAAAGCUUUAGCCUUGCCGACAAUUGAUGCCAAAGCUGUGGUGAAAUUCUUUCAAAGGAAUACUUUCUCAAGGUUUGGGACUAUAAGGCACUCAUUUUUGCAACAUGAUAUUUGCUGCAGCAUUGACUAAAUAUGUAAUUAAGCAUAAAACUGCUACAGCAUAUCACCCACAGUCUAAUGGUCAUCCAAACGUGUCAAACUGGGAGAUCAAAAGGAUUUUAGAGAAAAUAGUGAACCCUACUAGAAAAAAUUAGUCACUUAGAUUACAUGAUUCCUUGUGGGCCUACAAGACACCACUUGCCAUAUCUCUAUACGAAAUUGUCUAUGGCAAAACUUGUCAUUUUCCAUUAGAGCUAUACCAUAAAACAUAUUGGGCAUUAAAACAACUAAACAUGGACAUGCAUGCUGCAACAGAGUAUCAAAAAUUCCAACUUUGUGAACUUGAUGAGUUAAAAAUGCAAGGAUUUACAAGGAGAAAACAAAACAAUGGCAUGACAAGCACAUUCAGCAAAGAAAUUUAAUUCCAAGCCAACAAGGUUUGCUCUACAACUCAAUAUUAAAGCUUUUUUUUUUGGGAAAGUUAAAAUGUAGAUAGUUUGGACCUUUUAGACUUAUCAACAUUUAUCCUUAUGGUGCUGUAGAUUUCAAGAAUGAGAAAACUAGUAAGGAAUUUAUGGUAAAUAGGCAAAAAAUCAAACAUUACAUUGGUGAUGUCUUGCAGGACUCAAUGGAGGAUGUAAGCCUCACAGAUCCAGUUUGAGCAGAUUAGAGAAGGUCAGACUGAAGGACCUAAAAUCAAGUGCUAAUUGGGAGCCAAUCCAAUAAUUAAGGAAGUUAUUUUUAUUUUUCUUUGAAUUUAAUUUUGCAUGUUUCUCUUUAUGUUUAUUGUUAUUAUGAUUAGUUAAUUUCUUUUCGUGUUUUAUUGCAGUCUAACUAAAAAAAAAAAACUUGGGCUAUGAAACUGACACAUGUUGCUGCAGCAUUACACUUUACAUGACAGUUAGACAAUGCUUCUCAUCAAACGGGGAACAUUACUGCAGAUUGUUGUAGCACAAGAUUAUUUGUUGUAACAACAAUUCUUAACCUUACAGUGACACACCUAUGGAAAAUUUUCUUUUACCAUUGGGAAUAAAUUUUUGACAGCUGGCUUAGCAAAUCAAGAUAAAGAUAAGAAGGGAUUACAUAAUCCUUAGAUUCUCGAACCAAUAUCCUUUCCUUAUUUAAAUUGGAUAUGUUUUUAAAUUCAAAUAUUAUUUUCAAUUUUAUCUUUUAAAAUAAAAUUUUCUUUUAUUCUUAUUUUUACCAUCACCUAUAUAUUAGGGUUUUAUUGUACUUUCUGUAAUCUCAUUCCAAAUUUUUUUUCUUUCUUCUCUCAUCAACAACUCCCUACAGUCACAACUCCUUUCACGGUCUGUCCUUUUUCUUUUACCCAACAACUUAGACCUGGUUGCUCUAGCCAUAACAAGAUACAAAAGACUGUGGCUAGACUAAAUAACCCCUCACGAUUCUAUAGUUACAAUGCCGAAGAUAAGUUCGAUGAAUUUAUCAAAUCAAGAAUGAUUUUAGAAGAAAAAAGAUUCCAAUUCCUGCCACAACCUUCUGGAACAAUCUACACUAUCCAUGCUGCUGCAGCAAGAAGGGGCUGGUUAGAAUUUUGCACCCAUUUAAGGGACCCUGUGCUACCGAUUGUCAAGGAAUUUUAUGCCAACAUGCUCCGGCAAGACCAAUGCACAAUUUGGGUAAGGAACACUCAAGUUUCCUUAGACCCAAGAGUAAUUAAUGCUUUUUACAAUUUACUCUUUGAUGUUGACUGUGAGUACUAAAAUAUGAUUGGAAGCAUGACCCCUAAGAAAUAGAAUAGUGUGCUUAAAACCCUUAUAGUGGUAGGUAGUUCAUGGGCAAGUGACGAGGGUCGAGUAAUAAAUAGGAUCGAUUUAAAACCAAUUACCAAAGUUUGGGUAAAAUUUUUGAAAUCUAGAUUGAUGCCCACAAUACACACCAUCACCGUGUCCCAAGAAAGGUUGAUACGUAUUGCCAAUUGAUGUUGGGACAAUUAUCGAGAGGGAGAUUAGAGAAUGUGCUAUGAAAAAGCACAAACUGUUGCUUUGUAUUUUCUUAACUUAUCUCUAGCUUAUGUCUUGUAUCUGGAGUGAACAUAAUUGCAAAGGAUGAAUGCAUUAAGAAUGAAGGAGCUCUCACUGCUCGUACUAUAGAAAGAAUUACUGGUGAAUCUACUGCAGCAAUACCAAAGCAUAUUGCUAUAGUAGGAGCAAGGAGGGCCAUUGGGGUUGAAAUGAGAUUGUAAGAGCUGAGUGACAGUAUCACUCAAUGUGUAGAGGCACAACAGAGAAAAAAUAAUCGAUUCUGGAACUACUUGAUGCAUCUUGAAGACCACUUGCAUCAAUUUACUGUUUACAUGAAAAACAAAAAUAGAGACUUUCCUAAUAGCUUGUUGCAAUACUUUAAUUUUCACACAGCAGAAGAAGAUGCACCCACUCAAGUAGCAACCAAUGACGAAGAAUCAGAGUUUGAGGAAGAACCACAACCAACUAAGGAGGACAAAGAGGAGUAUGAAGAAACAUCAAAAGAAGAAAAUAAUGAGUAAAGUGCGGGAGAUGAUUCAAUAGAAGAGCAGGGAGAGGCACCUCCAGUAGUGUCUCCUAAACGUAGAAAGAAGCACAUCAUCAAAAAUGAUGAUGAAGAGAUAAAAGAUGAGCAAGCUGAUAAGCCUCCAGUCCCAAUAUUCUCUAGUAAAGGCAAAGAAAACGUUAUGAGUGAUGACCACUUAGAGGACAAUUAAGAGGACAUUGAUGCAGAACUUAAAGCAGCUGCCACAAGCGUUACUUAAAUAGCUGCAGAAAAGUAGAGUUUACUCGAUAUAAUUGUUGAAAUCACUGCUGAAGAACCUGCUGCAACAACAUUUGCUCAAAUUGCUCUACAACAAACUCGAACCAAAUUUCCUACCAUAGCUCUUAGGGGAUCUAGCAAACACAAAGGGGCACAAAUCUCUAGAGGUGCUACAACACUAGAAGAACCAGAGCACAACCAAACAAGACCCACUCAGCCCAAAGUUACUGUACCUACUGGAACUCCACCAAUCAGUCCAACUCUAAGUAAAAAAAAGAAGCAGCCAGCUGCCACAUCACUUGGUUCACCCAAAGAGCGUUUGCGAAGUAUAACUAAAAAGAAGUAAAUCUACUGCAACGGAAUAUCCAACAACAUGGGACUAUCCCUUGCCAGCCCAUUUUAAUUUUUCAUCAUUUGAAACUUUUCGUUUAUUUAUUUGUUUUUUAUUGUUUAAUUUUCAUUCUUUUGCUUGUUAAUGCAUGCAUUUUUGUCUUAAUUUAGUUUGUGUGCUUGUGAGGACACAACACCUCUCAGUUUGGGUGGUUUUUGUUAUGGUGUUAUGUGUUUGUGUUGAGUGUCAUGUGAAGCUCUGUUAUUGAGCAUUUAUGUAUGGAUUGGAAAACCUAAUGAUGAUGAAUUGACUGACAUUCAAUAUUUAUGAUUGCUGAAGUAGGGAUAGUGUACAGAUGAAGGCUGAAAUUUUGUCUCAACACUUAGACUUUGGUUGAGUUUCAUGAGUAUGCUGUAGCAGAGAUAGGAGAAAAACAUUGAGGGUAAAAAAAAAAAUCUUAAGUUUCAGGGAAAUUUUUUGUUAAACUGUUCUUGUUAUGAAAUAAAUGCUGCUUCAAUGGCUUAUGUUGCUGAGUAACUGGGGCUGAGUAUAUACUCUAUAUGCAGACUUGAGUCCAAAGGCAAUAAGAGCUAUGAGCAUUGCUGUAGCAUCUAUUAAAAAGUGAGAGAAAUAAAGGUCCUUUAUCUAGGAUAAUGAGUAACUAGGCCUGUUCAUAAGCCAUAUGUUCAGCCUUGAGUUAAAGAUAUCUUUAGAUAAGACCAUGUUGUGAGCAGUACUGCAGAAACUCUGAUAUGUACAUUGGUUGAGUAGUUGGGUGUCAUCACCAUAAGUGAUAGACAUUCACAUUAAAAAUCAAUGAUACAUUGAAGAGAAUUUAAUAAAAAAAAGAGAAUAUUAUGCUAUAACACAGUUUCAACUUUGUUUGUGACUUCCGCUCUCCCAUGUAUGAAUGUACUUGUAGUAUACCUCUGAAGUAUAUGUAACAUUUGUACAAUGCUGCAACAUCUUUAAAAUUUGAUCAAAGUGGCACACACACACUUUGGACAGAAUGAGGCCUAAGUCUAAAAUUGAACUACUGUGGCAAAUUUGCAUGAUUAAAAGUGUGAUCUGAGGGUUGAGAAAUCCUUACAGACUUGAUGACAAAGCUACUUUAUUAGUGCAUGAUUGUGUGAUUAAAGUGUGAGUAUUGUUAUCAUUAUUUGAGGACAAGUAAUGGUUUAAGUUUGAGGGUAUAUUAACUCUAUGAAAUGAGAGUUAUCAUGAGACUUUUAGACUUAAAUAAAGAUUACUUAGAAAGUAAAUGAUGUGUUUUUAUUGCUUUUUUUACUUUAUCUUUAAUCAAUUUUGUUUGAUUUAGAAUAAUAUGUGUGCUUAAAUCUCAUGCAUAAUUAUAUUUGAUUGAAUGCUCAAAUUUUAAUAAAGGAAUGCUGUUGCAAUGCGCUUGUAAAAAUAAGGAAAGAACUUGGUUACAGAAGAAUUGAAAUAAAUCUAGAACAGUGCAGUUACUGUAGCCGUUGUUGUAGCAUCUGUUGCCAUAGCAAUCCUAGAGCAUUGACAAAGAAGAUUUUGCACGAGAUACUUAGAAGAUUGCGAUAUGGAGUUUCCAAAUCUAGAAGAUACGCGGCCUAGACUUCCGGUUGCCCUAAUUCUCAACUAAAAAAGGAGCACAAAAGCAAGGAAAGAGGAGAGUCGUCAACUAAGAACAAAAAUCGAAAAGAAACAAGAGUAAAAUAGAAUUCAAGAGUAAGAUUUAGGGCUGCAUCAGAGGAGAACACGCAGAGAUCAAUUGGGAAAUCAAUUCUUCUUAUUCUUUUCUUGUUUUCUCGUUUACUCUUCAAUCAAUGAGAUGUAUUUGAUGGCUGAAACCCAUUUAUUUAUUUUUCUUUCACAAACCAUGAACUAAAUUUAUUUGUGGUUGAGUGAUAAACAAUCUUCAUGGUUCAUUGACUGAUUAUAUGUGUUGCUGGAUGUUUGUUAUAGCGCUUUGUUUUGAUAAUACUUAUUUCUAUUCAUUAUUUCAGCUGACCACCCAUUUAAUGAUAUUAACUAAGAAAGAGUCACAAAAAGGCCUAUCUUAGUGGGACAUAUCAUAGCAAUACUUGGUUUUGGAUUGAGUUUCCUGAGUUGAGUUUUACUUGAUUCUAAAAGGGUUAUGCUUAAUCUAAAACUAAUGAUAAACUAGACACAGGGAUUCACCUUGUAGUGUAAAUAGAACUUAGAUCAUUUAUUGAUAUAUUUAAUGUUGGCGUAAUAAUUGGUCAUUAUUAGGUUGCAUUAGAUAUAAGAUAUCCAACAUACGACAGCUGAUGAUGCAUGAGAGAUUCUGCCUAGUGCUGUAGCAACUAAACUUAAAAUUGGAAGAAAUAGUCAAAACUAUUAAGAGAGUUUAAUUCUUCGACAUAAGAAUUUUCUUUGCUGCAUUUUUAUUUAUUGAAUUUUAUUUUAAUUAGUGUUUUAAUUUUAUUAGUUGCUUUAUUUUCAAUUAAAACAAAACUGCAUUGUUAAGAUUGUUGUAGCAAACCUAAUAACAUCAAUCCCUGUGGAGACGAUCUGAAUACUCAUCAGUAUACUACUUGUUGUGUACACUUGCAUAUUGACACCCAUAGCAUUUGAAUUAACAUACAACAAUAACCUUUGGCAACGAGUCUAAAAAUAUCUAAAUGAUGUCCAGUAUCGAAAGCCAAACAGUAAGUUCCAAUGCCUUUAACUGAAGCUUUAACCCAGUUCCCUAUGAAAAUAAACUUCUCAUUUGGGUUUGUGCUUUGGAUCGUAAGAAAUCCCUGCAUCAUGUUUGAAACGUGAGUAGUGCAACUAAUCCACCACAUGUUAUAAGGAACUUCNNNNNNNNNNNNNNNNNNNNNNNNNNNNNNNNNNNNNNNNNNNNNNNNNNNNNNNNNNNNNNNNNNNNNNNNNNNNNNNNNNNNNNNNNNNNNNNNNNNNNNNNNNNNNNNNNNNNNNNNNNNNNNNNNNNNNNNNNNNNNNNNNNNNNNNNNNNNNNNNNNNNNNNNNNNNNNNNNNNNNNNNNNNNNNNNNNNNNNNNNNNNNNNNNNNNNNNNNNNNNNNNNNNNNNNNNNNNNNNNNNNNNNNNNNNNNNNNNNNNNNNNNNNNNNNNNNNNNNNNNNNNNNNNNNNNNNNNNNNNNNNNNNNNNNNNNNNNNNNNNNNNNNNNNNNNNNNNNNNNNNNNNNNNNNNNNNNNNNNNNNNNNNNNNNNNNNNNNNNNNNNNNNNNNNNNNNNNNNNNNNNNNNNNNNNNNNNNNNNNNNNNNNNNNNNNNNNNNNNNNNNNNNNNNNNNNNNNNNNNNNNNNNNNNNNNNNNNNNNNNNNNNNNNNNNNNNNNNNNNNNNNNNNNUGCCCUUGUGAUAAUUUUUUCUUUCAGGCUUCUUUUCAGCUUCUUUAUGAUCCAUGAAGUUAAUUGAGUGAAUUCUUUGUUUCUUAAGUCUUGUCUCUUCUUGAAUAAGCUUGGUCUAGAGCUCAUUUAUACUCAAUUUGUCUUUAAUGGUGUUAUAAUUUAUUUCAAAUGCACCAUACUAAAAGGCAAAGAGUUGAUAAUGAAUUGCACAAGGAAACUUUCACUUACUUCCAUCCUCACAGACCUCAAUUUUGUUGUUGUGUCUAUCAUCUCAGUCACAUGCUGAUGCAUGGUACAUGUACCAUCUAACUUACAUGUGGUCAACGUACCCAUUAAUGCCCUAGCAAGAGAUCUAUCGGCCAAUUUAGACUGAGAACUCUCUUUCACAAAUUCCAUAUAUUCCUUAGCACUUUCAGUUUUCGAAAUUGUAGACUUGAUGUUGUUGGCAACUGUCAUCUACAUAAACAUUAUGCUUAGUUUGUUUAAUAUCUCCCAAGUCUUAUGGAAAGAUCUCUCUUCAGCACUGCUUUCAUCAAUAAUAGCAGUUGGCCUUUUAGUUAAUAGUGCUAAGUCAAGAUCCAAAACACCUAAGUGAAACUGGACUUGCUCAGACUAAUCUAGGUAAUUAAGGCCAUUAAACGUAACAACAGACGAAGCUUGCGAAUGAAGAGCAACAGGCACAGGUGCUGCAAAUAUAUAUCAAUGCUCAUACAUUAAUUCUUUGAACUUAAACACAUAAUAUAGAUUCAGAUAAAAUUCACAUAAACUUUAAGCACAUAUUGAAGUUCACCUUUGGACGAUACAACAAUACACUACAAUAAACAUAAUUAAUGCUUUACUUUAAUUUCAUAUAAUUAGUAAUUAAAUACACAUUAACUAGACAAGUAAGCUAUUUUUGGAUGUAAUAAACAUAACUGAUUACCCACAAUCAUGAUCAUAGAUUAUAAAAUUAGUUAAUCAACCUUUGGGUGAUUCUAAAUAUUUUAUAAUCUAUGAAUUUCAAUAUACCUACAAGCAAAAUCAUCAUGUCAUUAAAUAAUAAGCAUCACAAUAAUUACGAGUAUUUGAAAUUGAAUUUAAUUUGACAUCUAUGAAAACUUUCUAAAUUGGCCACUUUGGUGACUAACAAAUUAUCAUAAUAUGAGUGUCAAAUUGAAUAUUUAUAACAAAGUUUUUUCCUUAAUAAAAAUAAAUAAAUAAAACCACAACUAUCAAUUGAAAUUUCAAACAUUAAAAUUGGAAUAUUAAAAAAUUUCAAAGAUUAUUAAUUAAUGAGUAGAAGCAUUCAAAAUUAUAUUAACAAAACUUAUAAAGCUUGACGUACAUAAAGUUAGUGGCUUUAUCAUACUGAACCCAAUCAAUCAUACCUAUAAUUUAAUAAAAAUAAAAAAUCAGGGACUAAACUAAAAAUUUACAUGUUAAUCCUAAAUUUCGGCCUAAGACAGCAUGUUACGGUCGUUGCCAAUUCUGUUGGACUUAAAUGCAAUAAAAUUCUAAAUUUUGUAUCAAAAACAUAAAUCAUGAAACCUUAGGGGGUCCAAUGAAACUAUCCAAAUGCGCGGCCAACACUUUUUUUUUUGUUCUUUCCUGUUUUAUAACAAAAUAAUAUAUGCAAAAUACCUACGUUAAUAAUUUUCUUUCUACAUUAUGUAUAUGUAGAAUAAUAACUCAAAUUGGCGCAUAUCGAUCAGGACAAUUGAAAAUAUGAGAGGGUUAUUAUAGAUUUUAAUGGAAAAUCAUGAAUUCUCAAAUAUGCUCUAAUACCAAGUAUUGAAAUUUUUACAAUUCCCAUAAAGCAAAUAAACUCUAAUUUGAAUAAAAUUUAAUCCCUAGGAUCAUAGGAUAUCAUAAUUUUCACAUCAUCAUAAUUGAGAGAAAAUAUACCUUGAUUCAUAGUGAUUUUUCUUGAUCAAAUCUCACUACCAAGAGUUAAAGAUUAGCAAAAUUGAUUUCUUUCUAUUGACUUACUUUCUGAUAGAGAGAAAAUUAACAUGAUAUCUUUUAUAUAUUGGCUGAAGAGAGGACCAAUUUUAAUGAAAUCCUAAUUUACACUUUCCAUCAAAGUGGGCAGUUAAUUUUUCCCAAUUGACCAAUAGGAUUUUGGCCCAUGAUUUAUUUUAUUAUUACUAAUUUAAUUAUGUGGCAUGUGGCCCACUAUAAAAUAUUCCAACACAAAAAUUAAAUACAAAUUUAUGAGAAUACAAAUUAAAACGAUCUCAUUUAAUAACAUAAUGAAAUAAUCAAGAAAAUAUAUUUAAAAUAUUACCAAACCUAGAAUGUGUCUUCAAUAUAAGGGAAAUUGUCAAUUUUUCCCCUACUGUAAUCAAUAUAUAUUAUUUACCCCCUUUCUGUUUUUAUAAUAGUCAAUAAUCCCCUGACAGUAUAAAUUUAUAAUAUUAUCCUUUUUUAAAUGCACUUUUAUUCAUAUUUAUUAUAAAUUAAAUAAAUCACAUAAAUGGAAAUUAAAAUAAAAAAUUAAGUAUAAAAAUAAGAAAUAUAUGUUUUGAUGUGAAAAAAAUUAAUAAUAAAAUAUUUUUCUUGUAUUUUUUUAUUUUAUUAAAAUUUUCUUAUAAUAAAUAUAUAAGAAAAUUACUAUAAAAUGAUUAUAUGAAAAGUUGAGUGAUUAAUAAAAAAUAUUUUAAAAUAAAUAAUUGAAUAUUUUUCUCGUACUUUUUACAUUUAAUUUUAAAAUAUUAUAAAAUAUGUAUUAAAAGAAACUGUUUACAAAAUAAAAAGUAAAAGAAAAAAAUUUAUUAUUAAUUUUUUUGUUCACAUCAAAACAUACAUUUCUUCUUUUUAAUACUUAAUUUUUAUUUAAUUUCUAUUGAUAUGAUUUAUUUAAUUUAUAAUAAAUAUAAAUAAAAGUGUAUUUGAAAAUAAGGAUAAUAUUGUAAACUUAUACUGUCAGGGAGUUGUUGGUUAUUAUAAAAAUAGCAAGGAGGUAAAUGAUAUAUAUUAAUUACAAUAGGGGGAAAAUUGUCGAUUUCCCUAAAUAUAAACACCAUGAAUAUGAAAUGUUUGUGUGUGUGUGUACAUAUAUAAAUUUAGAGUAAUAAUAUAGCCACAAAUUAUUGUACAAACUUAUGUGGUGUUAAUUCAUUGGUUGAAUUAAAUAUUUCUUGGUCCACAUGAUUUAUUUCUAUUAUUUUAUAUUUUUAUUCAACCAAUGAAUUAAUGCCACAUCAAUUUGUACAAGAUAAGUUUGUACAAGAGUUUGUGACUGUAUCAUCACUCAUAAAUUUAAUAGAUUGAAUGUUAAAAUUCAUGGUUAGCUUUCACAUGAAAAGCAUACGUAAAAAUAAUAUUAAUUUUUUUGUAGUUCAAAGCAAAUGUAUGUAAUGAUAUGCAAAACUUAUUGAUUCUUAUGAUUAAAAUUAUUCUUAUGAUUAAAAUUAAGUGUUACAUUUAUUUGAUCAAGAAAUUGGAAUAUCUCUACUACCUUCAAUGCGUUUGAUCUAUUUGAGUAUCAUUUAGAUGACGAGGAGUUGUACUAGAAUAAUUUGAGGACGAGUUCUCUUCCAAGUGAAGGGGACUGCUGUAGAAUUGAUUGUGUGAGACGGGUAAGAAACUUUUCUGGGAGUCAUAACUUGAGCUACAAAUGUCUAUUUGGGGCGUAUAAUAUAUUAUUUUGAAUCUUGUACUCCCCAAUUUCUUAAUGGGGUGGAGUUUGGUUUUGUACUCCCCACCCCACCCCACCCCACCCCAAUCCCCAUUAUAUAUAAAUAUGUUUUUAAUUCUUAUUUAAUAAUUUUUAUUUUAUCAAUUAUAAUGUCAAUUAAUUUUUUUUUUAAUUUUUAUACAAUAUAAACAAGAUAUGAAUGAAAGAAAAUCCUAUAAUAUAUUUCAACUUUGAAAUAUUGUUAUAUUUUCUUUUCUCUUUUAAGGUGCUACGCUCUUUAAAUAUUUUUCACUUUUAAUAUCAUUUUAAGAUAUUGUUUCAAACUUUUAGAUUUUUUUUAAAAGAAUUUAAAUACUUUAUAAUAUGAUAAUGAAUUUAUUUUAAGUCUCUAAUUUUUAACUUACUAAAAUAAUAUAUUUAUACAUAUUAUAAAAUAGAUAAAUGGGGAAUGGGGUGGGGAUGGGGAAAUCAUUCCCCACAUGAGGAUUCUCCAUCCCCACCCCACUAAAUUUAUUGGGGAAUGGGGUGGGGAAUGGAGGCAAAAAUUUCUAACGGGAUGGGGAAUGGGGUAGGCCUCCCCACCCUCACCCCACCCCAUUGCCAUCCCUAGUUCCGGAGGCUGCUCUACGUUGGAGCUGCUCCAACGUAGCAGCUACCAAAUUAUUAUUUAGUUAACAUUAUCAAUUUAUGGAAAGUAUAAUAAUUAACAUUAUCAAUUUAUGGAGAUAAUACUCUGAUUUCCUUUUCCACACCUAGUAUUUUUCACUUGAACAACACAUGACAAAAAGUUCAAAUCAAAAUUUUAUUUAAAAUUAAAGACAACAGAUUCAUAUGUAAAUUUAUUUAGAGAGAGAUGAAAAGUCCACUGGGAGAAGAAUUUUUUAUUAACGCACGAAAAGAAUGGGCGCCGUAUUAAAAAGGAUAUUAUAACGCACAAAGAGAUUGUGUGGAAUAUUUAAAAGAAUCUCUAAAGCAUGUUUAGAAUAAAUGUCAAAGUGUUGUAUUGAAUUUAAUCUUUAUUUAUUUAUUUUUGACAUCAAGAUAGCUCUGGUUGGUGUGGAAAAGUAAUUAACAAAUUAACUAGGAUCUUAAUUGUCAACAAUUUUGAUUCUAGUACAGGAGUAAUAUUUAUUUAAGCAGUUAAUUUCUUGGUCAUCAAUGGCCCGAGUAGGAAAUUAAGACAUGUCCUCAUGAUUCAUGAGACAAUUAAUUCAAACCAUAUAUAAGUACUUUUUGAAUUAAGUACAUUAUAUACAAGUACUUUUUCAAUUAAGUACAUUUUACAGUUCAAUUUAAUUCAAUUUAGUAAACUUGAACGGUCAAUCUUUCAAAAUCAUUGGACUCAAAUUAACCAGCAGCUAGCCUCCCUACCUACUUUCAAUAUACUCUUUUUUUCAAACAAGAUUUCAUAAAGAAGAUUAGAAGUGUCAUUCCUCAUUAAUAAAGAAAUGUAUCGAAGAAUUAUUAUAUUGAAUUUUGCAUAUGCAUACAUACAUUCAUAAAGUGAUGAGAAAAUUAUCGUUUUCACGUGGAUUGUUUAAUUUAGUAAUUAUGAAAAUUAAUUAAUCUAGAUUUUUUUUGAACAAAUAGAUAAAAGAUUUUUUUUUUGAAAAGUCGAUUAAAGAAUAUUGAAUGAGAAAAGUUUUAAAGCAAAAUCAAUUUAAACAUCUGAUUUCAGCAUAACUAUUCUAAUUUAAUUCCUAUAUAUGUUUAUGCAACAAAAGUUUUUUUAAUUACCGCAUUUUACCCAUUUUGACAAUUAAAAAUUCUAAUUGUCUUUAUAACCAUUCUCCAGCAAUAUUAAAGAUACUUCGGCAAUAAUUGUUUUUAUAACCAUGGUCGUCAUAGACUGGGUGCAUAAAUCGAUCACGAAUAAGGAUAUAUAGUACAUUUUUGUCUACAUCGUAGUUCAUGACAUUCAUCGCAUGAGCUAAAAACACAUUUGUCAUGCUACUCAAAUUAAUUGAAUAUUGGACAAAUAGUUAAAAAACAAAUCUCACAACAUGAAAAAAUCAAUUUUGAAUAACAUAAAUUUAUUGAAUAAAUUUUCAUAGAUAAACUGCAUCGCAACCCUAUAAAAAAUAUAAUUCAUAAUAAAACUAACGAGUCCAUAUGCAAUUGUAAUCAUUCACAUUUUUUUUUUUUUUGUGUAGAGGAGUAUUUCAUGCUCUUUUUGCAGGUCUAGAGAACAACUCUCGAUUUUAUUAAGAAAAAUAAUAUUUGACGACAAAAAAAAUAUUAUCAUAACAGAAAUGAUAGCACUUUAGUAUAAAUAGUAUUGUUAUUUUGGGUCAGUUUGGGUUAACUUUUGCUUUUGCUUCUACUUAAAAGUAAAAGAUAAGUAAAAGCUCUAGUUUAUUUUUGCUGUUUGGAUGACCAUAGUAAAAGAAUUUUUUUUUUUUUAAUGAGAAGCUCUUUUUGAAGUGUUUGGAUGACCAUCUAAAAAAGACCUUUUAAUCAUUAUAAAGUCAUUAAUACCCUUAAAUAUUUGAGUCUAACAAAUACUUAUCAAAUUUAAAAAUCAAUGACAAACAAAAUAAUUAUUUGAUCAAUCUAGUUAAACUUUUGCAAAUUAAAGUACCGUUUUUCUUUAUAAAAAAGAAGAACAAAAAUAACUAGAUUAAGUUUGUAACAUAUGUGAAUUAAAAAUGAAUAAGUAUGAGGCGGUUAAGAAUUUAGUAAAAGCAAAAGAAUAAGCUGGAAACAGAGGAAACAUAUGCACGUGUAACAGAGAGUGAGAGAGAAGCUGCCAAACCGACCCAACUACAGACCCAAAAACCCGACCCGGAACCGGCGAUCCUGACCCGGCCAUAUCUCCCAUUUCCGGCCACCGUUUCGGCCGAGCUUGGUACCAAUAUGAAGCUUAGAAGCUGGCCGUCAUUCUCUUGCCAUCCUCGUCGCCGAAAACCAACCGGAACACCGGCGAUCGAAGCUUGAAACCCACGACUGUUUCACUUUGCUCCACCGGGAUUUGCGCCGGUUUUGGGUGACACCACCGGUUGGAUUUUGUUCCCCACGACUCCCUCUUCCAUUUCCGACCAUCCAUAGGCACCGAGAGUCACUGUUUUGCCGCCGGUCGAUUGUUGGAAUUCACGGCUGCCGAGCUAGAUUCCGGCGUCGUUGCCGCGCAUUCGAGCUCACUGCCGGUACCAUUGAACUCAGCGUGAUUGGAACCUUAAGAUUUGAGCUUCCUAGCCAGUGUUGGCCAAAUUCCGGUGACCGUUGAUCGGCAAGGGCAUUUUGGUAAUUUCACACUAUGAGGGCAAUUUUGUAAUUUCUGAGCCUGUGGAUAUUUUAGUAAUUCCUAGAAUUGAGUCGAUACGCAAAAUCAUUAACCAAAC
This 31631-nucleotide long non-coding RNA is filed under the name Citrus x clementina. Its description in RNAcentral is "Citrus clementina (C. clementina) long non-coding RNA (CCLE_LNC004395)". Lineage: Eukaryota; Viridiplantae; Streptophyta; Magnoliopsida; Sapindales; Rutaceae. The record is from RNAcentral.